UUGACUCCCGCACUCUGCAAGAAGACAGAGCAAAAGUCAGAGAGAGAGAGGGGAGAGUUAGAGAUGGGGCAGAUAAAAAGAAAAAACUCCGAUUGCUUUGUAGAAAUCGAAUUGCUUUGUCUUCAUUUUGUUUAACGAAGUCAAAGCAACGCCAAAGACAAAAGCAACCGUCCGCUUCCUAAGAAUUAUAAGACAGACUCGUCCGACCGAUUUGACGGAUGUUUAUUUCUGUGGUAAGAAGCUAAAGAUUUUGAAAUUCCAUUAAAAAUCAAAAAAUAAAAAGGGUUGAUCGGCAAACUUGAUUGGCUACUGUGGAAAAUCUAUAAAAUGGCAACCCAAAGGCCACGGCAAGUCGUCUUCAUAUAAUAGCUUUGCCAUUUGAAACAAUUCGAUUUGGCCUUUUCUCUCUUACAAUAUCUUUAGACCGCGCGACUCCGAAGAGAUUCGCUUCCGAACUGAGGAACAAAGGAGAAGAUGCAGGGAGGUUGGGAGGAUGCAGAUAUUAAGGAGAACAGCAUUAAGAUCAAUGGCCUCGCUUGUUUUGCCAUUGAUGAGCACAACAAGGAGGUACUCGGAAUUUCUCUUUCCUUUUGUCUCUCCUUUCUUUUUUUAGGAUAAUGACACAAAUUAUCCCUGAAAUUUGGCCCAAUGCGCAAUAUGAUCUCUGAGCCUUAGCCUAAUAUUCAAUGUGGUCUCUGGAUUUUUAGUACAUGUUCAAUAUAAUUCCUGAACCAUACGAAAAUGUUCAAUGCAGUACUUCCAUUAAUUUAAGAUCAGGGACAAUAUUGAACGUUUUCAUAUAAUCUAAGAACUAAAUUGAACAUGUAUCAAAAGUUUUGGGACUACAUUGCACAUCGAGCUAAAGUUCAUGGACCAUUUAUGCCAUUUUCCCUUUUUCUUUCAAUUUGAUUUGGUUUUGAUGGGUGAUUGGAAUUUGAUGAAACUUUCAUGGUUUUGAUGGUUUGCUGCUGGAAUGAUUACUGUGGUUGCCCUAAUUAUAAGUGAUGCUCGUGAAAACAAGGAAAUUUGGGAUGUGGGUGUAGUUAAUCUGGUCAUCUAUGCUCGAAAUUGAUCGUAAUCACGUUCGGUUGAAGCAGAUGAUCACAGUGUCAAGGGCGGUCUGCAUGCAUUUGCCAGGAUUUGUGGGGGCGGAAGUUUCAGUUACCAUGUCAUCAGGAUAAAGGAAAUCUUAGUAUAUGAUCGAUCAAUUUAUUGGAUUGAGAUUUGAGUCUUUCAAAGGAGGAAAAACAGUUUUUGAUCUGCAGUUUCUUGGACAUGAAAAAGCGAGCUUGAAGUAGCAGAAAGUCAUGUUUAUUUAUACUGUUCCCAUUUGUUUUUGGUUCAAAUGUUUGUCAAUAAUGUGCUGAUGGUGUUGUUGGGGGACCAGAAUGCGAAGCUGCAGUGUGAAGGUGGAUAAAGCGAGAAUGCAGGUGGUUGAGGGUUUUAUGUACGAUAUCACCUUUGAAGCAACCGAUGGUGGUGUCAAGAAGGUAUACGAAGCUAUGGUUUGGGUGAAGCCGGGGAAGGAUCACUACGAGCUCAAGGAAUUUAAGCUCAUCGGUGAUGCCCCUGCCAAAGCUAGCGCAAAGCUUCCGGCUCCAAACUUCGAAGGUUGCUUCUCGUCGGACCGAUCUAAUCCUAAGAUUCAUUGCCUAGGAUGGAAUAUCAGCGUUAACUUGAAAACUAGACAACAACAUGCGGGGGUGACGUGUUUUGUCUAAGUCGUUUGUUUAUACAUGUGAUAGGAGUUCUCACAAAGCACUUCUCUGUCAUGGAGAUUCUUUGCUCAGUUCAAUCUGUAGUCUCAGUGCUCAAGGCUUGCCAAUUUGUUUUUUGCACUAAAAGAUUAAUUGCACUCAGUGUCCAGGACCAGUAUACAGUCACUUUCUGCAUUGUUGAUAGAUUAUUGCCCUAUUGGUUGAAUGUUUGAAUUUAGAUGGUAUUGUUCUCCA
Syzygium oleosum is the source of this 1952-nucleotide long non-coding RNA. RefSeq lists it as uncharacterized. Lineage: Eukaryota; Viridiplantae; Streptophyta; Magnoliopsida; Myrtales; Myrtaceae. The transcript is spliced from 2 exons. The record is from RefSeq and is a predicted model, not a curated record.